CCAGCUCCAAUAGCGUAUAUUAAAGUUGUUGCAGUUAAAAAGCUCGUAGUUGAACCUUGGGUAAAAGGAUAAGGUUAAUCGCAAGAUUGAACUUUAUAAGUUUACCUCUAAAAGAGGGACUUGGUCGAUAAACUCGGCCAAGGUAACUCGUGUUACUGUGAAGAAAUUAGAGUGUUUAAAGCAGGCAAUAGCUUGAAUACAUCAGCAUGGAAUAACAAGACAAGACUAAAUGUCUUCUUGUUGGUUUGGAGAUUUUAGUAAUGAUUAAUAGGGCCAGUUGGGGGCAUUAGUAUUUAGUAGUCAGAGGUGAAAUUCUUGGAUUUACUAAAGACUAACUAGUGCGAAAGCAUUUGCCAAGGAUGUUUUCA
Molecule: ribosomal RNA, 368 nt
Filed under: uncultured Paramicrosporidium
Lineage: Eukaryota; Fungi; Rozellomycota
Description: SSU rRNA
Rfam family: Eukaryotic small subunit ribosomal RNA
Source: RNAcentral